CAAAGAGUAGUUUAGUUUAAAAUGCCAGCUUUGGGAGUUGGUGAUAGAGGUUUAAUUCCUUUCUCUUUGA
Molecule: transfer RNA, 70 nt
Filed under: Trogon melanurus (black-tailed trogon)
Lineage: Eukaryota; Metazoa; Chordata; Aves; Trogoniformes; Trogonidae
Also listed under: 1 other name
Rfam family: tRNA
About the family: Transfer RNA (tRNA) molecules are approximately 80 nucleotides in length.
Source: Rfam by way of RNAcentral